RNAcentral lists this non-coding RNA (27 nucleotides) under Bombyx mori (domestic silkworm). The record is from RNAcentral. Lineage: Eukaryota; Metazoa; Arthropoda; Insecta; Lepidoptera; Bombycidae.
AGUGAUGUGAGUCCGUCGAGUAGCCUU